Thalassiosira oceanica is the source of this 47-nucleotide regulatory RNA element. It matches the Rfam family "Histone 3' UTR stem-loop". From Rfam's summary of the family: The mRNAs of metazoan histone genes lack a poly-A tail. 3' end processing occurs at a site between a highly conserved stem-loop (modelled by this family) and a purine rich region around 20 nts downstream (the histone downstream element, or HDE). The stem-loop is bound by a 31 kDa stem-loop binding protein (SLBP - also termed the histone hairpin binding protein, or HBP). The record is from Rfam. NCBI's taxonomy places the organism in Eukaryota, Bacillariophyta, Thalassiosirophyceae, Thalassiosirales, Thalassiosiraceae.
CAACAGGAUUUUUUAAAAUCCACCCCGCAUUCAAAGAAUGGAUAUCU